AGCUCCAAUAGCGUAUAUUAACGUUGCUGCAGUUAAAAAGCUCGUAGUUGCAUUUCCGAGGCAAGGGAUUAGUCCGACCUUUGGUGGGUAUUUAAUCCUCUUGCCUCGUCCUUGAGUGGUGCUUCUUGGUAUUAAGUUAUCGAGGAGAUAGCCGCUCAUCGUUUACUGUGAGAAAAUUAGAGUGUUCAAAGCAGGCUUAUGCCGUUGAAUAUAUUAGCAUGGAAUAAUAAGAUAGGACCUCGGUACUAUUUUGUUGGUUUGAGAACCAAGGUAAUGAUGAAUAGGGACAGUUGGGGGUAUUCGUAUUCAGUUGUCAGAGGUGAAAUUCUUAGAUUUACGGAAGACGAACUACUGCGAAAGCAUUUACCAAGGAUGUUGUCA
Molecule: ribosomal RNA, 381 nt
Filed under: uncultured marine Chaetocerotaceae
Lineage: Eukaryota; Bacillariophyta; Thalassiosirophyceae; Chaetocerotales; Chaetocerotaceae
Description: SSU rRNA
Rfam family: Eukaryotic small subunit ribosomal RNA
Source: RNAcentral